This 211-nucleotide unclassified non-coding RNA is filed under the name Hevea brasiliensis (rubber tree). Lineage: Eukaryota; Viridiplantae; Streptophyta; Magnoliopsida; Malpighiales; Euphorbiaceae. The record is from RNAcentral.
UCUUCUUCUUCUUCUACUUCUUCCCCACCCCACACACCACCAACCCCCACCCACACCCCCACACCCCCACCCACCCCACCACAAGCAAAUGAUGGUGGCUUCCAUUUUCUGUCUUGCAAUAACUUGAAGUCUUGCAUUUGAUUGUUUCCUGUAUACCAAAAUGAUCUAUUUUGUUGAAGUGCUGAAAUGCUUUAUAAAAUUGUAAAGAGGU